Molecule: transfer RNA, 72 nt
Filed under: Marmota monax (woodchuck)
Lineage: Eukaryota; Metazoa; Chordata; Mammalia; Rodentia; Sciuridae
Description: tRNA.Ala
Source: RNAcentral
UGCCAUGGGCUUAGUGGCAGAGCACCUGUCUAGCAUGCAUGAGGCCUUGGGUUAGAUCCCCAGCAUUGGGAA